GACGAACGCUGGCGGCGUGCUUAACACAUGCAAGUCGAACGCUGAAGCUCAGCUUGCUGGGUGGAUGAGUGGCGAACGGGUGAGUAACACGUGAGUAACCUGCCCUCUUCUUUGGGAUAACGCCCGGAAACGGGUGCUAAUACUGGAUAUUCACUGAUUCUCGCAUGGGGGUUGGUGGAAGGGUUUUUUCUGGUGGGGGAUGGGCUCGCGGCCUAUCAGCUUGUUGGUGGGGUGAUGGCCUACCAAGGCUUUGACGGGUAGCCGGCCUGAGAGGGUGACCGGUCACAUUGGGACUGAGAUACGGCCCAGACUCCUACGGGAGGCAGCAGUGGGGAAUAUUGCACAAUGGGCGAAAGCCUGAUGCAGCGACGCCGCGUGAGGGAUGGAGGCCUUCGGGUUGUAAACCUCUUUCGCUCAUGGUCAAGCCGCAGCUUUGGGUUGUGGUGAGGGUAGUGGGUAAAGAAGCGCCGGCUAACUACGUG
This 482-nucleotide ribosomal RNA is filed under the name uncultured bacterium. Its description in RNAcentral is "partial 16S ribosomal RNA". It matches the Rfam family "Bacterial small subunit ribosomal RNA", at positions 28 to 507 of the family's 1533-position model. The record is from RNAcentral.